This 254-nucleotide ribosomal RNA is filed under the name uncultured bacterium. RNAcentral's name for it is "partial 16S ribosomal RNA". It matches the Rfam family "Bacterial small subunit ribosomal RNA", at positions 524 to 776 of the family's 1533-position model. The record is from RNAcentral.
UACAGAGGGGGCGAGCGUUAUUCGGAAUUAUUGGGCGUAAAGGGCGCGUAGGCGGCCUUUCAAGUGACGGGUGAAAUCCCUCGGCUUAACCGAGGAACUGCCUGUCAGACUGGAAGGCUUGAGACCGGGAGAGGUGAGUGGAAUUCCCAGUGUAGCGGUGAAAUGCGUAGAUAUUGGGAGGAACACCUGAGGCGAAGGCGGGUUGCUGGGCCGACACUGACGCUGAGUGCGCGAAAGCGUGGGGAGCGAACAGG